Molecule: ribosomal RNA, 253 nt
Filed under: uncultured bacterium
Lineage: Bacteria
Description: partial 16S ribosomal RNA
Rfam family: Bacterial small subunit ribosomal RNA
Source: RNAcentral
GACGAACCGUACGAACGUUAUUCGGAAUCACUGGGCUUAAAGGGUGCGUAGGCGGCGCGACAGGUUGGGUGUGAAAUCCCUCGGCUCAACCGAGGAACUGCGCCCAAAACUGUCGUGCUCGAGGGAGACAGAGGUGAGCGGAACUUAGGGUGGAGCGGUGAAAUGCGUUGAUAUCCUAAGGAACACCGGUGGCGAAAGCGGCGCGCUGGAUCCCUUCUGACGCUGAGGCGCGAAAGCCAGGGGAGCAAACGGG